GUGGUGCCACCGUGCACUGCGCACACGUGUAAACCCCAAAGGCGUAGACAACUCGAACAAGUUUGUACGGGGAUUACGGGCUCGGCACUGGCGCAAGCCUUCGUCGGGCCCCUCCAUCCCGGGGUGUCCCACCGAGCGGGCCUCCGGGUCCGCUGUGGGCAUCCCUCGAGUGCGUAGGAUGCGACCCGAAAGAUGGUGAACUAUGCCUGAUCAGGCCGAAGUCAGGGGAAACCCUGAUGGAGGGCCGAAGCAAUUCUGACGUGCAAAUCGAUUGUCAGAGUUGGGCAUAGGGGCGAAAGACCAAUC
Molecule: ribosomal RNA, 306 nt
Filed under: Anopheles dravidicus
Lineage: Eukaryota; Metazoa; Arthropoda; Insecta; Diptera; Culicidae
Description: eukaryotic LSU rRNA
Rfam family: Eukaryotic large subunit ribosomal RNA
Source: RNAcentral